Hibiscus syriacus is the source of this 579-nucleotide long non-coding RNA. RefSeq lists it as uncharacterized. Lineage: Eukaryota; Viridiplantae; Streptophyta; Magnoliopsida; Malvales; Malvaceae. The transcript is spliced from 6 exons. The record is from RefSeq and is a predicted model, not a curated record.
UUUUAAUUGAACACCAGAACUUGAGCUACUCUCGACCGCGCUAUAUCCCAUGGCGAUUGAAAAAAUUCUUAAAGAUGACGCUAGUGAAGAGAAGGGGGAGCGUGCCAGAAUGGCAUCAUUUGUUGGGGCAAUUGCAAUUUCUGACUUGGUUAAGACAACAAAAAUUAGCUGACCCUGUUCCCAUAUGUAAUGGGAUGAGGGGAGGUAAGGAGUAGACUGCCCCCAACUCUAGGUUGAGAGCAGCUUCCGCGAAAAACCUCGGUAGUCAGAAUUAUGAAUUGUCCACCGUGGAACUCGAUCCCACGAUCACAAAGUUAAGAGCUUUGCGCUCUACCAACUGAGCUGGACGGACAAUUCUGACUUGGUUAAGACAACCCUAGGGCCAAAAGGAAUGGAUAAAAUUUUACAGUCGACGGGCAGAGGACAAGAAGUCGUUGUUACUAAUGAUGGAGCUACCAUCUUAAAGUCCCUUCAUAUCGACAACCCUGCUGCAAAAGUUUUAAUUGAUAUCUCCAAAGUUCAAGAUGAUGAGGUUGGUAAUGGGAACUGUUGUUUUGGUUGGAGAACUUUUAAGGGAGG